RNAcentral lists this ribosomal RNA (497 nucleotides) under uncultured bacterium. RNAcentral's name for it is "partial 16S ribosomal RNA". It matches the Rfam family "Bacterial small subunit ribosomal RNA", at positions 28 to 507 of the family's 1533-position model. The record is from RNAcentral.
GAUGAACGCUGGCGGCGUGCCUAAUACACGCAAGUCGAGCGAACAGACGAGGAGCUUGCUCCUCUGACGUUAGCGGCGGACGGGUGAGUAACACGUGGACAACCUACCUAUAAGACUGGGAUAACUUCGGGAAACCGGAGCUAAUACCGGAUAAUAUAUUGAACCGCAUGGUUCAAUAGUGAAAGACGGUUUUGCUGUCACUUAUAGAUGGAUCCGCGCCGCAUUAGCUAGUUGGUAAGGUAACGGCUUACCAAGGCAACGAUGCGUAGCCGACCUGAGAGGGUGAUCGGCCACACUGGAACUGAGACACGGUCCAGACUCCUACGGGAGGCAGCAGUAGGGAAUCUUCCGCAAUGGGCGAAAGCCUGACGGAGCAACGCCGCGUGAGUGAUGAAGGUCUUCGGAUCGUAAAACUCUGUUAUUAGGGAAGAACAAAUGUGUAAGUAUCUAUGCACGUCUUGACGGUACCUAAUCAGAAAGCCACGGCUAACUACGUG